AAGUUGUGAGGGAGAAGGAAUGACAAUUUUUGAACUGCAAACAAAACCUGAGGAUCCCGAUCCAAGAACAAUCAGAGGACCCUGGCUUCCAGCCCUGUCUGAAGAUUUCUCAGCAAAGGCGAGGGUGCAGAAGGCUCCAAUAAUUUAGGGGAGAGGAAUCGAAGUUCCCUAGUGUGUUAUAUUUCACAAUAAGAAAAGGCUAAAAGAAAACAGACUGGCACGGUGGCUCACACCUGUAAUCCCAGCACUUUGGGAGGCCGAGGCAGAUGGAUCAUGAGGUCAGGAGUUGAAGACCAGCCUGGCCAAGGCUCUCCCACGGAGCACCCUCUGCUGACUCUGCAGCCCCGCAGGCCUUCCUCGAACAGUCCAUGACAGGAAGCCAGGCUUCCUGGGGUCCUGAGUCAGCAGAGCAGGAAGGAAACAAAGGCCUCAGAACCGCAGAAGAGAAAGAAGGCAGCCUGAAGACAGAAGGCGACCCUCUGAAGACAGGUCUAGAGACUUAACGUAUGAUGUUCCUGGAGUCCUGUUGCCUGUACCUCUUCAGUAGAAAAAUUCAAUAAGGUUUCUGACACUUUCUACCUAUGGGCCAGUUACAUACAGAAGAGAAAACUGAAACUGAAAACUGGUUUGUCAUUUUUACAGAAAGUCACUGCAAAGAAGGAGAAUUCCAAGUGCAAAUGACUUGAGGUGUUGAAUUGAGAACCAGGCAGAUCCACCACCUACAGUAAAGAUGACCCUAAAGUGAAUUGGUUGAAGAAAUUAGAUCCCAAAGAUUCUUGGUGAAUUUUCAAGUCUUCAUCAGUAUAUCCAUAUUAAAAGGAGAUGACAGAAGCCAAAAUAAAAGAAUUAUGGGCUGACGGGACAACUGGAUUAAAAUAAGCAUCAGUUUCGUUAAAAAGGGCUAACUUGAAGAUAAAUCUUUUGACUCCAGCUCUUUAGAGGAUCUAAAGUGACCCUGAUGGACAGUGGAAAAAAUCACAACAUGGAAUCCCUUGGAUAAAAAUCUAUUGACUUUGAAUAAUUUUGCCUAAUGUUACAUAAUACACAAUUAAAAAAAAAAAAAACCUUGGCCAGGCAUGGUGGCUCACACCUGUAAUCCCAGCACUUUGGGAGGCCGAGGUGGGCAGAUCACAAAGUCAAGAGAUCGAGACCAUCCUGGCCAAUAUGGUGAAACCCUGUCUGUACUAAAAAUAACUUACCUGGGCAUGGUGGCACUCGCCUGUAGUCCCAGCUACUCGGGAGGCUGAGGCAGGAGAGUGGCGUGAACCCAGGAGGCGGAGGUUGCAGUGAGCCGAGAUUGCACCACUGCACUCCAGCCUGGGCGAAAAGAGUGAGACUCCGUCUAAAAAAAAAAGAUUAUAGAUAGGCCAAAGCCAAAACCAGGGGUGCAAAAGGGAAAUAAAUCAGGAGCCAAGUACCAAGUGUCAGGAUCAGGAUCCAGAAAGGCAGGAUACAGCAGAGACACUAAAACCAGGACCAUGGUAAAAGUGAGACACUGGAGAAAGAAACCAAAGAGAACACUGUAACCGGGAGCCUAGCUAAUCUUGCAGUUGGAUUGAGAGGCAAACUGGGUGAUUUUUCCACUGGCUGACCUUUUAGAAGUUCCAGACAUGUUCUCCCAAAGGCACUAAGUUCUGGGUCCCAGAGAAGUGGGCUCAUGGCACGGCUGAUCUCAGAGUUGGUGCUUGUGCAGCUCCUGACACAAGGUGCCCCUCUAAAUGAAGAGCCAAGGAGCACACGUUUAUCGAAGGUCUACUUUGCGCCCCUUGUGGCAACACUCAUACUUGGAGGCAGAGGCUACCAUCAGAAUAUAAAUUUUAUCCUCAGGAAGAUGAGAAGACAACUGGCUUAGAAACUAGCUUAGAACAUUUCCAAGUUUGACACAGGGCCAGGGGCUGUCAAGCCUCAACCACAAUGCAAUCAACCACCAGCUCUAUUCCACAGGCGCAUGUCCAGGUCGGCUAAUAAAUGGAAAAGCCAGGAUUAAGAUUCAAGUUUCGUCCGGUCACGGUGGCUCACUCCUGUAAUCCCAGCACCUUGGGAGGCCAAGGCGGGCAGAUCAUGAGGUCAAGAAAUCGAGAUCAUCCUGGCCAACAUGGUGAAACCCCGUCUCUACUAAAAAUAUAAAAAUUAGCUGGGCACAGUGGUGCACGCCUGUAAUCCCAGCUACUUGGGAGGCAGAAGCAGGAGAAUCGCUUGAACCUGGGAGGUGGAGGUUGCAGUGAGCCGAGAUCUCGCCACUGCACUUCAGUCUGGGUGACAGAAUGAGACUCCGUCUCAAAAAAAAAAAAAAAAAAGAUUCAAGUUUCUUAGCCUGGGCAACAACGACGACAAAAAAUUCGGAGCUUAUGGUGGUGCAGGCCUGUAGUCCUAGCUACUCAGCAGGCUGUGGCAGGGGGUGUCACUUGGAGGCUGCAGUGAGCUAUGAUUGCACCACUGCACUCCAGCCUGGGCCACAGAGCAAGAUUCCGUUUCAGAAAAAAAAUAAAUAAAUUUGGGCCGGUCUCGGUG
Homo sapiens (human) is the source of this 2511-nucleotide long non-coding RNA. NCBI's taxonomy places the organism in Eukaryota, Metazoa, Chordata, Mammalia, Primates, Hominidae. The record is from Ensembl.